Molecule: ribosomal RNA, 332 nt
Filed under: uncultured eukaryote
Lineage: Eukaryota
Description: partial 18S ribosomal RNA
Rfam family: Eukaryotic small subunit ribosomal RNA
Source: RNAcentral
CCCUUAGAUGUCCUGGGCUGCACGCGCGCUACACUGGAAGUUACGGAUUGAGAUACUACCUUGUCCGAAAUGGUCCGGGUAAUCACCUAAAAGCUUGACAUAAUUGGAAUGGAUUAUUGUAACUAGUAAUCCUGAACGAGGAAUUCCUAGUAAGUCCCAGUCAACAGCUGGUACUGAUUACGUCCCUGCCCUUUGUACACACCGCCCGUCGCUACUACUGAUUGGACGUUUAAGCAAGAUUUUUAAACACUGACAGUGUGUAGUUCACGCUAUACUACAGUGAGAAGAAGAAGAUCGAGCUUACUUGUCUAGAGGAAGUAAAAGUCGUAACA